RNAcentral lists this non-coding RNA (306 nucleotides) under Solanum tuberosum (potato). Lineage: Eukaryota; Viridiplantae; Streptophyta; Magnoliopsida; Solanales; Solanaceae. The record is from RNAcentral.
GCCGAGCCAUGUAACGUUGGCUUGUAACCAAGUGGGGCAUUAAAGUGGUUUGGAUGUUUGAUAAAUGGGCUUGAUAAUGCGGGUGCCGUUGGGCUUCUCUACUCUUGGCAGAAUGGUGCACGCCACAGCUCUACAUGAGCUGGUAGCAUUAAAAACCAUUGAUGGGGUUAAUGCUUGAGAGGCCCCAAAGUUGCGGGAAAUAACUAGUGGUCCAAAUGGCGCCACUAGCCCGCAAUCUCUUAGAGAGGAUUCCUCGGUUCUGAUUAAGCGUGCCUAUUAGGCCCAAUCUAACAUACAACCACUUUU